UAGCAGCACGUAAAUAUUGGUGUUAAGACUGUAAAUAUCUCCAGUAUUAACUGUGCUGCUGAA
Molecule: microRNA precursor, 63 nt
Filed under: Columba livia (rock pigeon)
Lineage: Eukaryota; Metazoa; Chordata; Aves; Columbiformes; Columbidae
Also listed under: 1 other name
Description: Cli-Mir-15-P2a_pre stem-loop
Rfam family: mir-16 microRNA precursor family
About the family: The hairpin precursors (represented here) are predicted based on base pairing and cross-species conservation -- their extents are not known.
Source: RNAcentral